GCCGCUGUGGCGGAAUUGGCAGACGCGCAGCGUUCAGGUCGCUGUAUCCGCAAGGGUGUACAGGUUCGACUCCUGCCAGCGGCA
RNAcentral lists this transfer RNA (84 nucleotides) under Lapidilactobacillus concavus DSM 17758. RNAcentral describes it as "Lactobacillus concavus DSM 17758 tRNA". It matches the Rfam family "tRNA". From Rfam's summary of the family: Transfer RNA (tRNA) molecules are approximately 80 nucleotides in length. Their secondary structure includes four short double-helical elements and three loops (D, anti-codon, and T loops). Lineage: Bacteria; Bacillati; Bacillota; Bacilli; Lactobacillales; Lactobacillaceae. The record is from Rfam by way of RNAcentral.